ACGAGUGCACGCAAUCUGCUGAAUAUAUAUAUAAGAGAAGUAAAAGGUAGGUUUUCCUGGCAAAUUGGGCCAUACAAAGAUGACCAGUUUUCGUUUUAAUACAUAUUCCAUAAUAUUAUAUACACAGCACAGGCAAUUCAGCAUUCGGUCUGGACAAGAUACGUCAAUAUAUACAUAUUGAUUGUUAAAUCGAUGAUGAUAUAAUUAAGAAAUCCGUAGAAACCCUCACAGUCAUACAUAGUCAAUUAACACAGUGGGAGCCUUAGAAUAAUUCAAAGCCUCAAAAAAAAAAAAAUUAUCGCCUUUUGUUUUCUGUGAAAUUGAAUAACUAGUUCAAUAUGAUUUGAUUUCCAAGUGUGUGUACAUACAUGAUGAUGAU
RNAcentral lists this small RNA (379 nucleotides) under Histoplasma capsulatum. RNAcentral describes it as "hypothetical RNA". Lineage: Eukaryota; Fungi; Ascomycota; Eurotiomycetes; Onygenales; Ajellomycetaceae. The record is from RNAcentral. RNAcentral also lists the same sequence under 1 other name.